GGGCUGUGGCAGGUGGCCAUCUGGACACACACAGAACCAGAGCAGUACAGCCUCCGCCAACCAGCCCAUGUCUGCACCUGGACAAAGCAUUGAGCGAAGCACGAGGAAAACACACGCCCAGCUCUGCUACAGCAUCUGAGGAUCCGCACCGCAUGGACAGAGGCAGCUCCACAGCACCUCCCAGCUACAGACCCCACCAUAGACCUACACACACAGAGACAGUCUCCACAGACAUAAGCAGCUGCUUAUGUCUGCUCACCUCAGGAUGGAGUCAGGAACCUGAAUAUGGCACACAUCAGCAUCUCCAGGAUCCAUAUGAACUGUCUACAAUUGAACUUUGAAGGUAAGGAGGGAACAAGAAGCUAAGAAAGGAUGGCUGGGCCCAACUGAGAAGUACCGGAGACACCACAUCCAGAAGAGAAUGCAAGCACUGUCACUGAGCAUGCUCCUGAGACUGGGAAUGAAAGUUUAGGAGCAAUGAAGACUGUCAGCCUUCCUCCCUUGACCCCCAGACAACCACCGAGAAGCUGUCACAGCAUUAAAAAGAAUACAGAACCUUCAAAAUAAACUUUGUGAUUCAUUAAACCCAU
This 590-nucleotide long non-coding RNA is filed under the name Gallus gallus (chicken). RNAcentral describes it as "long non-coding RNA NONGGAT005579". The record is from RNAcentral. Lineage: Eukaryota; Metazoa; Chordata; Aves; Galliformes; Phasianidae.